This 931-nucleotide long non-coding RNA is filed under the name Equus caballus (horse). RNAcentral's name for it is "lncRNA (ENSECAG00000060283.1)". Lineage: Eukaryota; Metazoa; Chordata; Mammalia; Perissodactyla; Equidae. The record is from RNAcentral.
GUGAGGCCAACUCUCCCUAGAGGCUGGGACGGGUGAGCAGCAGUGUUUGGCAUCAGUCUUGAGGACCCCACCGCCUUCACAUACCCAGCAAUGCUGUCUGGACAAGUUUACACGACAAAUUUGAAAUUUAUUUUGUAGCUCAUGCCUAUUGUAACAAAACUAUACAAAAGAAUAUAAAAUAAAAACACCCCACAGACACAGCCCGCAGUCUGCUCUCCAGAGGUUUCACUGGUGGUAGCUUGCUGAGAAUCCUAGCCAACACUCUGGAAAACUCUGCUGUGCACGUACAUAUUUUUCCUUUUUAACCAAAACGGGCAUCAUUCCGUACGUGUCAUAAUGCCUCCCACUUUGUCCAAUAUCUUGUGGACAGCAGCCUCCCUCCAUGUCAUGGAAACUGAGUUCCAACAGGUGGGGAUCAUCACCCACCUCACAGGGAAACUGAGGCCCCCUGAGGUUCUGGAGGCCAGCAGUCCAAGACAGGCCCCACUGAGCUAAAGUCAAGCUGUGGGCAAGACUGUUCCCCUGGGAGAGCCUAGGGGAGCUCCCUGCGGUCCUCGGCUCGUGGCCCCAUCCUCUCUCUUCAAAGCCGAAGGGAAUCAGUUUCUCUCUACUUGCGGGUUCCUGAAUAUCUUCCACCCAGCACUGAAGUUGCUGCCCAGUCAGGGGCAGAGCUGGAGGAGGCGGGGCGGUGACAGCAGAGCAGAGAAAGCUUUCCUUGCCUGGCUGAAGGAGACAGGGCUGCUGUCCCCAGGACCCCUGUGGCUGCAGGAGUGGGAGGAGCGGGCUGGCCUAGGCCCCUUCCCCACUCAGCCGGGUCCUGCGUGGUCCCCUACCCUGGACAGCCGUGCUGUGAUGUGAUCCUCUACCCACAUGGUCCUGGAGCCUGGCCUUCAAGAGUCCCUUUAGGAAAGAAAAGCAAGGGUAUUAAUUG